RNAcentral lists this small RNA (2724 nucleotides) under Pongo abelii (Sumatran orangutan). Its description in RNAcentral is "retained intron". Lineage: Eukaryota; Metazoa; Chordata; Mammalia; Primates; Hominidae. The record is from RNAcentral.
CACAGAGCUCAGGCGCACACCUGCUGCAGAGUAGAAAGUUCACACGUGGUGGUGAUGAGGUGGCGGCGGCGGUGAUGGUUAUGAAAUCAUGAUAGGAUGGUGGUGGCAGUGGCAGUAUCACAGCUAACUUUUCAGUGAGUGUCUGCAGCGACACAAUUAAGUGAAUUAACACGUGCAGUUCUUUGGGAGGAAGCUCUCCCACCUUCAGGCACAGGGGUGGUCACCUGGCUCCAGAGCCAGCUCGUCCCAGAGCUGUCAUGGAUAGGAAUUGUGAAGGAUGUGUGCGCUGGGGCUGCGUGUGUGUGUGUGUGUGGCCUGUGUGUGUGUCUGUGUGUCUGUGUACGUGUGUGCCUGUGUGGCGUGCCUCCGCGUUUGUAUGUGUGCCUGUGUGUGUGUGCGCCUCUGUGCGCAUGCCUCUGUGUGUGCGCGCCUCUGUGUGUGCGCACGCGUGCGUGUGUGUCUGUGUGUGUGUGGCUGGGUGCUGCCCCCAGUCCCUGGGGCGGGCAGAUGGACGGACGGACAGUCUUGACCGCCGCUUGUCCCCCAGGUCUACGACGUUCCUCCAUCAGUGAGCAAGGAUGUGCCUGACGGCCCACUGCUGCGUGAGGAGACCUACGACGUGCCCCCUGCCUUCGCCAAGGCCAAGCCCUUUGACCCGGCCCGCACCCCACUGGUCCUGGCUGCGCCCCCUCCAGACUCCCCGCCAGCCGAGGAUGUGUAUGACGUGCCUCCCCCGGCUCCUGACCUCUACGACGUGCCCCCUGGCUUGCGGCGGCCUGGCCCAGGCACCCUGUACGAUGUGCCCCGUGAACGGCUGCUUCCUCCUGAGGUGGCUGAUGGUGGCGUGGUCGACAGUGGUGUGUAUGCGGUGCCUCCCCCAGCUGAACGUGAAGCCCCGGUGGAGGGCAAGCGCCUGUCGGCCUCCAGCACCGGCAGCACACGCAGCAGCCAGUCCGCGUCCUCCUUGGAGGUGGCAGGGCCGGGCCGGGAACCCCUGGAGCUGGAAGUUGCCGUGGAGGCCCUGGCACGGCUGCAGCAGGGUGUGAGCGCCACCGUUGCCCACCUUCUGGACCUGGCAGGCAGCGCCGGUGGGACUGGGAGCUGGCGUAGCCCUUCUGAGCCACAGGAGCUGCUGGUGCAGGACCUGCAGGCUGCUGUGGCCGCCGUCCAGGGUGCCGUCCAAGAGCUGUUAGAGUUUGCCCGCAGCGCCGUGGGCAAUGCUGCCCACACAUCUGACCGUGCCCUGCACGCCAAGCUUAGCCGGCAACUGCAGAAGAUGGAGGACGUGCACCAGACGCUGGUGGCACAUGGUCAGGCCCUCGACGCUGGCCGGGGAGGCUCUGGAGCCACCCCUGAGGACCUGGACCGGCUGGUGGCCUGCUCGCGGGCUGUGCCCGAGGACGCCAAGCAGCUGGCCUCCUUCCUGCACGGCAAUGCCUCAUUGCUCUUCAGACGGACGAAGGCCCCUGCCCCGGGGCCUGAGGGGGGUGGCACCCUGCAUCCCAACCCCACUGACAAGACCAGCAGCAUCCAGUCACGGCCCCUGCCCUCACCCCCUAAGUUCACCUCCCAGGACUCGCCAGAUGGGCAGUACGAGAACAGCGAGGGGGGCUGGAUGGAGGACUAUGACUACGUCCACCUGCAGGGGAAGGAGGAGUUUGAGAAGACCCAGAAGGAGCUGCUGGAAAAGGGCAGCAUCACGCGGCAGGGCAAGAGCCAGCUGGAGCUGCAGCAGCUGAAGCAGUUUGAACGACUGGAACAGGAGGUGUCGCGGCCCAUAGACCACGACCUGGCCAACUGGACACCAGCCCAACCCCUGGCUCCGGGGCGAACAGGCAGCCUGGGGCCCUCGGACCGGCAGCUGCUGCUCUUCUACCUAGAGCAGUGUGAGGCCAACCUGACCACACUGACCAAUGCCGUGGACGCCUUCUUCACCGCCGUGGCCACCAACCAGCCGCCCAAGAUCUUCGUGGCACACAGCAAGUUCGUCAUCCUCAGCGCCCACAAGCUGGUGUUCAUCGGGGACACACUGUCACGGCAGGCCAAGGCUGCUGACGUGCGCAGCCAGGUGACCCACUACAGCAACCUGCUGUGCGACCUCCUGCGCGGCAUCGUGGCCACCACCAAGGCUGCUGCCUUGCAGUACCCAUCGCCUUCCGCUGCCCAGGACAUGGUGGAGAGGGUCAAGGAGCUGGGCCACAGCACCCAGCAGUUCCGCCGCGUCCUAGGCCAGCUGGCAGCCGCCUGAGGGUGGUGACCCCAGGAGGGAGGCAAGGGAGGGGCGCGGUGGUCCCAGCUCCCUGGCUCCCAUCUCAAGAGUCGCUGUGCCACAGGCUUAGGGACAGGACCCCAGCUCUGCCUCGGUCCUGGUGCCCUGGAUGCCCAGGAAUCUGUAUAUAUUUAUGGCCGGGCAGGGUGUGGGGCCAUGCCUCCUCAGGAGCCGAAGUCCAAGGGCCGGCCAGUGGCCUUCCCCAGCAUGCACCACGGGCCCGGGGUGGGUCACCAGGCAGGGGGCUGGCGUGUGAGGGCCCCACAGCCUGCAGGACCUCGUGCUGCCCCGAGGGCUGAGCCUGGCCCCACGAGGGUGCCAUGUCCCCUGACAGGGCCAGUGCAGUUUGGUGUGUCCUCCGCCUUACCAGGAGAAGAACGUGAAGAACUAUUUUUCAUUAUUGGUUUUCCAAUCAUUUGACUAAUAGUCUCCAUUUAAAUAAAGUUUUUAAAAUG